GUGGGCUGGGUGGGGCGGACGCCUGGGCGGGGGCGGGGCACGCAGGGCGGGGCGGGGCGGCGGCUACCCGAGGUCGCGGGAGGUCGCGGGGUGUUUUCCUCGUUUUGUAGGCGGGUGAGGGGCCCGUUGGCCCUCCCGCCUGGUGGCUGCUUUCCCCAUCUGCCCGAUCGAGACCCCAAGUUUUCGGUGGUGACGGAGCCGCUUGAGUCCUGCGGCGUUUUCGCUUUUGCUCUUCUCCACCGAGCUGAGCAGCUUAUAUUCUUACGACUUUCAAGCCAAUCUGGUGAAACAUUUGGCAGAAAUAAGGAAAACAUCUCCAUCGUGUUUUGCUGCUCGGGUGCAAUGUUCAAGAACACCAGAAGAGGGCAGUAAAUCCUUUAGAACUAGAGAGCAGGUUGGGAGCUGCACUGGAAGUGUGGGGACUUAAAUCCUGGUCCCUUGGAAGAGCAGCCACUGAGCCAUCUCUCCAGCCCUUGUGAUUUUUCUUCCUCUUCUCUCUACCACCACCUCCUCCUCCUCCUCCUCCUCCUCCUCCUCCUCUUUUUUUUUUUUUUUUUUUUUUGGUUUUUCGAGACAGGGUUUCUCUGUGUAGCUUUGGAGCCUAUCCUGGCACUUGCUCUGUAGACCAGGCUGGCCUCGAACUCACAGAGAUCCACCUGCCUCUGCCUCCCGAGUGCUGGGAUUAAAGGUGUGCGCCACCAACCCCGGCCCUAUAUAGUACUUGUUAACCCUAUCUUUUUUAUUUUUGAGAGAGAGAGUUGGAUUCGCUGGAGCUGGAGUUCCAGGUAUUUGCAAGUGGGAUUAGUUGGGUGCUGGAAUCAGAACUCUUCCUCUGGAAGAACAGCAAAUGCUCUUAACUGUGAGCCAUCUCUCCAGUAUCCAUCAGAUGUGCCUUUUUAAAGUUAGGGUAGUGUCAGACUGUAGAAUUCUCUGUCUAGUUUUUAAGAAUGGAUAUUUGACUGGGUGUAGUGGCACAUGCCUUUGAUCCCUGUACUCAGGAGAUAGAGGCAGGGGGAACUCUGAAUUCAAGGCCAGACUGGACUAUAUAGAGAAACCCUGUUGGAGAGAUGUGGUAGGGGGGAACCAGACACACAAAAUUAAAUAAACAUUUUAAAAAAUCAUACAAUUAAAUAAUACUAAAUAAACAUUUAAAAGAAUUUAGACACUAUAAUAUGGUGGGUUGUGACACAUGCCUUUAAUCCUAGCAGUUAGGAGUCAGAGGCAGGCAAAUGUCUACAAAGUGUCAGGACAGCCAGGGCUAUACAGGGAAACACUGUCUCAAAAAGAAAAAAUACAAUGGUUUUGAUAAAGGUUUGCCAAAGGUGUUAUGAUCCACAUGUUGCUGCUGCUUUAGAAUUUCAAAGCCCUAGGGCAUUGGUGGUGCACACCUUUAAUCCCAGCACUUAGGAG
RNAcentral lists this long non-coding RNA (1410 nucleotides) under Cricetulus griseus (Chinese hamster). RNAcentral describes it as "lncRNA (ENSCGRG00015042910.1)". The record is from RNAcentral. Lineage: Eukaryota; Metazoa; Chordata; Mammalia; Rodentia; Cricetidae.